GGCCGCGUGGCCCCGCCCACCCCCACUAGUGAUUGGCUCGGAGCGGAAAGGGGGCGUGUCGCCCCGGCUGCCUGGCGACUGGCUCCUCCCCUCCGGGUCGGCCGUUCCUGCAGCGCCCUCUGGCGCUCAGAGGGAGAAAAACGCGAAGAGUCGUUGCCCGCGCUCCGCCGGGGGGACGGAUGAACUCGCUUGGGAGGGGACUUCGCAGCCGGGAAGGAGGAAACUGAGACCCAGAGGGAGGAUUGGAGUCACCCAAGGUCAAUCGCACUGCUAGUUUGAGCAGGGGUGGGACCGGAACCCAAGUCUUCUGAUGUGGAAUCUGUGCCUUUUAACAAGCUGCUUCCCUCUUGCACCCUGGGAGAGGUUGGGGCUUUUGUUGACAGAAGCAAGCACUUCCUCAUUCUAGGAGUCAUAAGGCACGCAGAGAGAGACAGAGGGAGAAGCAGGCUCCCUGCAAAGAGCCUGAUAUGGGACCCAAUCCCAGGACCCCGGAACCACAACCAGAGCUGAAGGCAGACACUCAACCACUGAGAGCCACCCAGAUGCCCCUCAAAAUGCUUUUGGCUCCACAGGUGCGGAGGAGACAAAGGAGCUGAACUGAGGGGCAACCAGGAACAAUGUGGGGGUUUAUGAAAUCUUAGUGAAUGUCUUCCUUUUUAUUGGAGUUGUAUUAGGCUGGGCCAUUGCCUGCUUCCAGUGGAAGGACUACAGAGGGUCCAUAAAAUUCUCCGAAAAUUCUGUGUCUCAAUCAGUCCCAGCUUCCUCUGUAUUCCCCAGGGACCUAGGAGGUCACAGUGGCUGUGAGUGGAGAUUAUCAGGGUGUCAAGUGGGGCCGUUGCCCUAAUAAGAUUCCCUGAACUAGAGGCUUGUCAAUUACCUGUGAAAGAGGUGAAUCAACAUGCUUAAUCCUUACUUAUAUCAAAGUUUUUGGUCCUCAGCAGGCAAAGGUGACAGAAAGUGCGGUCUUUCAUAGCCUUAGAACCAAGGAUGUCCCAACAAUGAAGCAAGAACAUUGUUGGCCAGCUAUCCUACCUGACAUCUUGAGAUAUCAGGAACAUAAUCCAUUCACCUUCUAGAUUUCCUCUGAGUUCCUCUUUGGUGAGCCUGCAGGCUCCCUCUGGAUCCUGGGGUCUCUGGAAGAUGUAAACACUAAGCUAUUUUGUUGGGGAGGUUCUGUAAUCUGAAUGUGCACUGAGCCUGCACAAUCCUCUCGCCCACCUUGCCACUCCUCACAGGGUCUAGCUAUCCAACAGUCUCAUGCAAAUAGGCACAGCCAGGCUACCUGCCAGGUGUUAGAGACAUCAGUUAUCAACAAAAAGGGGUAAGUGUCUAAGCCCCUGGAGCCUGACUCAAGUAAGACAAUAGGGUCAAGGCUGCUCUCUUUCCUCUGAGGAGUGAAAUGAUUCUGACUCAGCUGCUUUAAAACUGUGGAAGAGGUGUCAUCAGCAAUCAGGGCAGUUUAGGACUCUGGAAUCUGGCCAUGGGGUGAUUUUCACAUCAGCCUCUGUCUCAGUGACUGAGGACCUUGGGACUUCUUUGUUUCCUUCAAGCCCAAGUCUCCUCAGAUGCCUUCUCCAGUGGGCCAGGCAAUGGAAGGCAGAGGAGCGGAUCUCCCCACUCCGCAGGGCAUAAAUGAUGGGGUUGAUCAUGGAGUUGACAAGACAGAGCAAGGAGCAGAAGGCGAAGACCUUCUUGACCUGGUCACUUAGGGUAGUGGUCAGGCUGUAGACCAUGAGGGCCAGUACCGGGAGCCAGCAUAUGAAAAGGACAGCCAGCACCACCCCCAGGGUCUUGGCCAACCUCACAUCUAGCCUCAUUCGUGCCAUCCCUGGCACCUGCCUGUCCUGGUGUUCAGCCAAGCUGGCUACAUGCUGAUGGGCCUUCCACAGGACAUGCCCAUAAGUGUAGAUGAUGCCAAAGAAGAGGAAGGCAAUGAACAGGAGCCAACCCAGCAAAUAGUCAUUGGGGAUCAGGGGGAAAAGCUCAGAGCAGGGAUUGGGACAGCAAGUCCAUCCCAUAAGGGGCAAGUAGGAGACCAAUGCAGAGAGGGCCCACAUGAUGCCCAGGGUUGCCAGGGCCCUCCCACAGGUGAGUAGGGCUUUGUAUGUAGAUGGGUGGCACAGGCAGAGGUAGCGGUCAAUGGCGGUCAGCAGUAGGCUGCCUACAGAGGCUGUGAAGGUCAUGGUCACGCUGCCAAUCUUCAGUAGGAAAACAGCCUUGGAAUCCAUGCCAUGGAAGACGUGGAAAUUUACAAAGUUGCAAGCAAAGAUCACACUGGCCAGGAAGUCAGCCACAGCCAAGCUGCUAAUGAACAGCCCAAUCCUGAGACUUCCCAUUGAAAGUAAGAGAAAUCUCUGAGGCUCAAAAACCACAAGGAAAUCAAAACCAAGAAAAAAAUGGAAUCCAGAACGAUAAGAUGGAGGGGAUUUUUCUGUUGAUGUUCUACUCUGUUCUGUUUGCCCAUUUUGUGCUAGCCCACGCCAACGUGGUGUAGGGCGCGUGGACAGCCGGGGCAGGCCUCACCGCUCACAGGCCACUGCAGGCAGCCCUGCCGGCUCCACUAUUCCUCCGGAUGCUCCAUCAUCAUUUCCCAGACUCAUCUUUCAUCCAGUGAAGCCUUCCUUGAUGCUCCAUCACAAAGGAAGCUCCCCUCAUUACUCUGCUUAUGUUGUAACCAGUUCUGCACUAGGCUUUUCUCCAACUGGAACUAACCACCAUUUGGAUGCAUGUCGGUGCUCAGUGGGUAAGGUGGACCUGGAGCCUGCAGCCUGACCUAUACUGAUGCUGAGUGUCUGGGAAAGGAAACUUCAGCUGCCAGGAAGCUCAGAACUAAAUCCGAUGCAAGCCUGUGGGUCAUUCAAGCAGGCUCCCGUCCCCUGCUUUCGGAUCUGUCAGAUUCCCCUGGGACCCAGGCAGAUCCACAGAGACACACAGAGGAUGGAUUCACUGUCUAGCAGAGCAGCAGCAGCAGAUGGUAUGAAGCUCAGAAUCUCCAAUGAAGCCAUUUGCUGAGCCCAGGUGCCCAUCUGGUGCCAGCAUCAUCCAGCCAACCCUCAUCGUGGCAGGCCCAUGAGUGCUGGUCUCGGGCCCAAAGUUCUCAGAAGAGGGAGCUGAAUGGGAAAGAGGGGGACUGAUAUCCUGAGGCCACGGAGUUACCAGUGCUGAGAUUCACCUGGGUGCUGGCGCAGGACACACUCAUAAACACUAGUGUCCUGCUGAGUGGAACGUCUGUGGAGUGGACCCCUGGCCUCCUGGACCUAGUGUGGCUCUCACCCUACUGAGCUGUCUGCAUGUCAGUGACUGUCUCCUUCUGUCUGGACCUUGGUGGGCCUGCAAAGCUGAAUGCUGAUUCGUGAUCCUGUCCAAGGGUGAGGACGGCACCAGCCCCAAGCCUUCCUGUGACUGGUCCUCACACACCUUGGGAGUCCUCUUCAUUAGGCAUCAAUCUCCUGGCCCCAGUCGGGCCCCCCCAGCUUCUUAAAUCCCUGAGAGGGGGAGGGGGAAAGUGGGAACCCAGGUUUCAAAGAACACAGGUUUUCUGAAAUGAGGAAGAGGUCCCAAAUAAAGCAACAAUGGAAAGCUACUCACUGUGGUCUGUGGGCUGAGCUUCCUGAUCCUGCUGGGUGCUGAGGAGUCCUGGUAGUUGUGCGUUAAGGAGCUGGCCCUGGGUCCCAGUCAGAGCUACUGUUCAACAGCCACCCAAGUCAGCUUUCUCUUGCUUUUACUCUUUUUCACAGAUGAGUGAGCAUGAGGAGGUCUGGCCUUCCGUCCCUCUCACCACUUCCCCUCUGGGUCCCCAGUACCACAGCAUUCUGUCCCUGUAAUUGUGUUAUUUCUCACAAGGAACUCUGACCAGGGAGGGGAGGGGCAUCUGUAUAGCCCCUGGAGUCAAGGGACUUGAGUUCUAAUCCCAUGUAGCUCUUAUGACCUUGAGCAAUUCACUUAAUCUUCUUAAACCUUAGUUUCUUCAUCUGCAAAAUGGAGGUAAUGCACCAGCGUUACACAGACCACCUAAAAGGACAUUCCGUUCCAAUCCCUCUUGCCUAUCAGAUCAGAACUUUGAAAUUCAAUGCCUAUCAGUGUCCGCCAGAAAACAUCAAUGGGUGAAGAGUGCUGG
Canis lupus familiaris (dog) is the source of this 4117-nucleotide long non-coding RNA. RefSeq lists it as uncharacterized. NCBI's taxonomy places the organism in Eukaryota, Metazoa, Chordata, Mammalia, Carnivora, Canidae. The transcript is spliced from 11 exons. The record is from RefSeq and is a predicted model, not a curated record.